UUGAAAGGGAAACGAUUGAAGUCAGUCGUGCUGGCGCGAAAUCAACCCUCUCAUCGUGAGAUCCCUGGUGGGGCGAGGCUUAAAACCCCCACCGNANGNNUCUCUCUUGNAGGAAUAGNCUUUUUCGUGUGCUGUGUAACAUCUAUUUUUAAAACCAUAAAAAGGCUGUGGGGAUGUGGCUCCUUCUCGAGUGUUAUAACCUUUUUAGCAAUGUGGUGUUCGGGAUUGAGAAUUGCAACGAAUACCUUUAGAGCUGUUCCACCUGGCUUCUCUUUGUGAUCCUGGGGACGACAGCUUGCUGACGUUGUUAGAAUUCGCCUUUUAACAGGCUAGAGUGUGAGCAAAUUCGUUAAGGAUGUUGACGUA
Molecule: ribosomal RNA, 366 nt
Filed under: uncultured Glomeromycotina
Lineage: Eukaryota; Fungi; Glomeromycota
Description: LSU rRNA
Source: RNAcentral